AGAGCGAACGCUGGCGGCAGGCCUAACACAUGCAAGUCGAGCGCCCGUAGCAAUACGGGAGCGGCAGACGGGAUAGUAACACGUGGGAACGCGCCCUUCGGUUCGGAAUAACUCAGGGAAACUUGAGCUAAUACCGGAUACGCCCUUACGGGGAAAGAUUUAUUGCCGAAGGAACGGCCCGCGUCCGAUUAGCUAGUUGGUGAGGUAAUGGCUCACCAAGGCGACGAUCGGUAGCUGGUCUGAGAGGAUGACCAGCAUCACUGGGACUGAGACACGGCCCAGACUCCUACGGGAGGCAGCAGUGGGGAAUAUGGACAAUGGGCGCAAGCCUGAUCCAGCCAUGCCGCGUGGAUGAUGAAGGCCUUAGGGUUGUAAAGUCCUUUUAACGGGGAAGAUAAUGACGGUACCCGUAGAAUAAGCCCGGACUAACUUCGUGCCAGCAGCCGC
RNAcentral lists this ribosomal RNA (447 nucleotides) under uncultured bacterium. RNAcentral's name for it is "SSU rRNA". It matches the Rfam family "Bacterial small subunit ribosomal RNA", at positions 26 to 518 of the family's 1533-position model. The record is from RNAcentral.